This 512-nucleotide ribosomal RNA is filed under the name uncultured bacterium. RNAcentral's name for it is "bacterial SSU rRNA". It matches the Rfam family "Bacterial small subunit ribosomal RNA", at positions 28 to 526 of the family's 1533-position model. The record is from RNAcentral.
GAUGAACGCUAGCGGCAGGCCUAAUACAUGCAAGUCGGACGGGAUUCAGUGAGUAGCUUGCUACGAACUGAUGAGAGUGGCGCACGGGUGCGUAACGCGUGAGCAACCUACCCAUAUCAGGGGGAUAGCCUCUCGAAAGAGAGAUUAACACCGCAUAACAUCAUUUACCGGCAUCGGUUUUUGAUCAAAUAUUUAUAGGAUAUGGAUGGGCUCGCGUGACAUUAGCUAGUUGGAGAGGUAACGGCUCACCAAGGCUACGAUGUCUAGGGGCUCUGAGAGGAGAAUCCCCCACACUGGUACUGAGACACGGACCAGACUCCUACGGGAGGCAGCAGUAAGGAAUAUUGGUCAAUGGAGGCAACUCUGAACCAGCCAUGCCGCGUGCAGGAUGACUGCCCUAUGGGUUGUAAACUGCUUUUGUCAGGGAAUAAACCUUUCUACGUGUAGGAAGCUGAAUGUACCUGAAGAAUAAGGAUCGGCUAACUCCGUGCCAGCAGCCGCCGCAGUAAGAC